This 253-nucleotide ribosomal RNA is filed under the name uncultured bacterium. RNAcentral's name for it is "partial 16S ribosomal RNA". It matches the Rfam family "Bacterial small subunit ribosomal RNA", at positions 524 to 776 of the family's 1533-position model. The record is from RNAcentral.
UACAGAGGUCCCAAGCGUUGUUCGGAUUCAUUGGGCGUAAAGGGCGUGUAGGCGGCGCCGUAAGUCGGGUGUGAAAUUUCGGAGCUUAACUCCGAAACUGCAUUCGAUACUGCGGUGCUUGAGGACUGGAGAGGAGACUGGAAUUCAUGGUGUAGCAGUGAAAUGCGUAGAGAUCAUGAGGAAGACCAGUGGCGAAGGCGGGUCUCUGGACAGUUCCUGACACUGAGACACGAAGGCCAGGGGAGCAAACGGG